This 500-nucleotide ribosomal RNA is filed under the name uncultured bacterium. RNAcentral describes it as "partial 16S ribosomal RNA". It matches the Rfam family "Bacterial small subunit ribosomal RNA", at positions 30 to 523 of the family's 1533-position model. The record is from RNAcentral.
AUUGAACGCUAGCGGGAUGCCUUACACAUGCAAGUCGAACGGCAGCGCGGACUUCGGUCUGGCGGCGAGUGGCGAACGGGUGAGUAAUGUAUCGGAACGUGCCCAGUAGCGGUGGAUAACUACUAGACAGAGUAGCUAAUACCGCAUACGCCCUACGGGGGUAAGGGGGAGAUCGCAAGACAUCACACUAUUGGAGCGGCCGAUAUCGGAUUAGCUAGUUGGUGAGGUAAAGGCCCACCAAGGCGACGACCCGUAGCUGGUUUGAGAGGACGACCAGCCACACUGGGACUGAGACACGGCCGAGACUCCUACGGGAAGCAGCAGUGGGGAAUUUUGGACAAUGGGGGAAACCCUGAUCCAGCCAUUCCGCGUGUGCGAUGAAGGCCUUCGGGUUGUAAAGCACUUUUGGCAGGAAAGAAAUCGCAUCAAUUAAUACUUGGUGUGGAUGACGGUACCUGCAGAAUAAGCACCGGCUAACUACGUGCCAGCCGCCGCAGUAA